This 253-nucleotide ribosomal RNA is filed under the name uncultured bacterium. Its description in RNAcentral is "partial 16S ribosomal RNA". It matches the Rfam family "Bacterial small subunit ribosomal RNA", at positions 524 to 776 of the family's 1533-position model. The record is from RNAcentral.
GACGUAGGGCGCGAGCGUUGUCCGGAUUUACUGGGCGUAAAGAGCGCGCAGGCGGUCGUGCAAGUCGCGUGUGAAAGCCCCCGGCUCAACUGGGGAGGGUCACGCGAUACUGCUCGACUCGAAGGCAGGAGAGGGAAGUGGAAUUCCCGGUGUAGUGGUGAAAUGCGUAGAUAUCGGGAGGAACACCAGUGGCGAAGGCGGCGACCUGGGCAGAUACUGACACUGAGGUGCGAAAGCGUGGGGAGCAAACAGG